GCCGAAGCAGAAAUGUCACUUGUGUUAGCCGUUUUUUUUUUUUUUUGGCAGCUGUAGCUCAUUUGUUUGAGCAGGUCAUCCAGCGACUUAAGGAUCACGAGUUCAAAUCCGAGUUGUGACUGCAUGCUGUUGAAAUAUCCUUGGGCAAGACACUGACAUUAUUUGCUCCCAGUAGGUAUUUAGUAGCCGCCCUUUGGUGCAUGAAAUGUACUGUUAAGUGCACUCCAAUUAUCGUUUCAACUCUUACUGUGAAAUGUUGGUUGGUUACCACUUCCUGUUUUUGUUCCAUUUGCAAAAUAAGAAUCUCAGCUGGUAACGCAACUUUUUAUGAAUACAGGACCUUUGAUUUGGAUAUUUUAUUGUGUGCCUUUUGAAUCCAUCAAAAUGUUGACUGUUACGUUAGCUUCUCAUGCUAGCUGGUAACUUCUUAGCUGCCGGAUGCUUGUCGCUUGUCAUCAACAGAGUUGGCCGGGAGCAGGAAGACCAGCAGUGUCAUGGAUGAGAGAAGCACACAUGGAAUGAGGAGGUUGAGAGCAUAGUACAGGGUCCGCCGUCGUAGGGUGACCACGAAGGUCACGUCAGGGCAACCCUUCCAGGGUGUUAACAGUCAGCCUCACCCAGUAGGUCCCACUCUCCACUGGGCAUGUAUCCCGACACGUCUGCCUCCU
Molecule: long non-coding RNA, 668 nt
Organism: Hippocampus comes (tiger tail seahorse)
Lineage: Eukaryota; Metazoa; Chordata; Actinopteri; Syngnathiformes; Syngnathidae
Exons: 3
Source: RefSeq, a predicted model, not a curated record